GACGAACGCUGGCGGCGUGCUUAACACAUGCAAGUCGAACGAAGAGCGAUGGAAGCUUGCUUCUAUCAAUCUUAGUGGCGAACGGGUGAGUAACGCGUAAUCAACCUGCCCUUCAGAGGGGGAGAACAGUUGGAAACGAAUGCUAAUGCCGCAUACGAUCUGACGUCGGCAUCGGGGAUAGAUGAAAGGUGGCCUCUAUUUAUCAGCUAACAAUGAAGGAGGUGGUGGAGUGGGCUUGGCAAGUUGGGGGGGGAAUGGCCCACCAAGGGGAGGAUCAGUAGCCGGGCGGAGAGAAUGAACGCCCACAUUGGGGCUGGGACGCGGCCAAGACUCCUGCGAGAGGCAGCAGUGGCGAACCUGCCGCAAUGGAGGAGAGUCUGACGGAGCGACGCCGCGCGAGAGAUGACGGCCCUCGGGUUGUAAUGCUCUGUUAAUCGGGACGAAAGGCCUUCUUGCGAAUAGUUAGAAUGAUUGACGGUACCGGAAGAGAAAGCCACGGCUAACUACGUG
Molecule: ribosomal RNA, 510 nt
Filed under: uncultured bacterium
Lineage: Bacteria
Description: partial 16S ribosomal RNA
Rfam family: Bacterial small subunit ribosomal RNA
Source: RNAcentral